AUGCUGGACUAUUCUUAGUCCGGCAAUUGGAAUGAGAGUGACCCAAAACCACACUCGAGUAACCAUUGGAGGGCAAGUCUGGUGCCAGCAGCCGCGGUAAUUCCAGCUCCAAUAGCGUAUAUUAAAGUUGUUGCAGUUAAAAAGCUCGUAGUCUGAGUCUUGGCUGGUGGUGAGUGUCCGUGGCCCCUUCUGUGGGUCACGCGCAUGCGAUAUUCCACCCGGCCACUGUACUUCGGAGUUCUGUGUGCUGUGCUUUUCAUUAAGUGCGGUGCACAUUAGGGAUUCCGAUAGUUUACUUUGAGAAAAAUAGAGUGUUCAAGGCAGGCGUUGUGCCACUUUUGAAUACAUUAGCAUGGGAUAAUGAAAUAGGACAUUGGUUCUAUUUUGUUGGUUUACGGACCGAUGUAAUGAUUAAUAGGAACAGUUGGGGACAUUUAUAUUCCAUGGCUAGAGGUGAAAUUCUUGGAUUCAUGGAAGAUAAACUACUGCGAAAGCAUUUGUCAAAGAUGUUUUCAUUGAUCAAGAACGAAAGUUAGGGGAGCAAAGACGAUCAGAUACCGUCGUAGUCUUAACCAAAACGAUGCCGACUAGGGAUCGGUGGGUGUUACCAAAUAUGACUCCAUCGGCACCUCUCUAUGGGAAACCAAUAAGUCUUUGGGUUCCGGGGGGAGUAUGGUCGCAAGGCUGAAACUUAAAGGAAUUGACGGAAGGGCACCACCAGGAGUGGAGCCUGCGGCUUAAUUUGACCCAACACGGGAAAACUCACCAGGUCCAGACAUGGUAAGGAUUGACAGAUUGAGAGCUCUUUCUUGAUUCCAUGAAAGGUGGCGCAUGGCCGUUCUUAGUUGGUGGAGUGAUUUGUCUGGUUAAUUCCGUUAACGAACGAGACCUUGACCUGCUAAUUAGUCACCGUAAAGCACCCCUGGUUCUUUGCGGGCUGUACUUCUUAGAGGGACAAUCUGUGUUUCCAGCAGAUGGAAGCGCGAGGCAAUAACAGGUCUGUGAUGCCCUUAGAUGUCCUGGGCUGCACGCGCGCUACACUGACGAACGCAACGAGUUUAUCACCUUGGCAGAGAUGUCUGGGUAAUCUUUUAAAAGUUCGUCGUGAUGGGGAUAGAUGAUUGUAAUUAUUCGUCUCGAACGAGGAAUUCCUAGUAAGUGUGAGUCAUCAGCUCGCGCUGAUUGCGUCCCUGCCCUUUGUACACACCGCCCGUCGCUCCUACCGAUUGAAUGGUCCGGUGAGAACGUCGGAUCACGCGCUCGUUACCGCAAGGCGACUUGUGCGAGAGAAGUUGUUCAAACCUUACCAUUUAGAGGAAGGAGAAGUC
Molecule: ribosomal RNA, 1328 nt
Filed under: metagenome
Description: SSU rRNA
Rfam family: Eukaryotic small subunit ribosomal RNA
Source: RNAcentral